ACCCGACUGCUAUCAGAGUGGGAUUAAGCCAUGCGAGUUAACGUAGCAAUACGUGGCAUACGGCUCAGUAACACGUAGUCAACAUGCCCAGGGGACGUGGAUAACCUCGGGAAACUGAGGAUAAACCGCGAUAGGCCAAGAUUUCUGGAAUGAAUCAUGGUUUAAAUCUAUAUGGCCCCUGGAUUGGACUGCGGCCGAUCAGGCUGUUGGUGAGGUAAUGGCCCACCAAACCUGUAACCGGUACGGGCUCUGAGAGGAGGAGCCCGGAGAUGGGCACUUAGACAAGGGCCCAGGCCCUAUGGGGCGCAGCAGGCGCGAAACCUCUGCAAUAAGCGAAAGCUUGACAGGGUUACUCUGAGUGAUUUCCGCUAAGGAAGUCUUUUGGCACCUCUAAAAAUGGUGCAGAAUAAGGGGUGGGCAAGUCUGGUGUCAGCCGCCGCGGUAAUACCAGCACCCCGAGUGGUCGGGACGAUUAUUGGGCCUAAAGCAUCCGUAGCCGGUUCUACAAGUCUUCCGUUAAAUCCACCUGCUUAACAGAUGGGCUGCGGAGGAUACUAUAGAGCUAGGAGGCGGGAGAGGCAAGCGGUACUUAGUGGGUAGGGGUAAAAUCCGUUGAUCCAUUGAAGACCACCAGUGGCGAAGGCGGCUUGCCAGAACGCACUCGACGGUGAGGGAUGAAAGCUGGGGGAGCAAACCGGAUUAGAUACCCGGGUAGUCCCAGCUGUAAACGAUGCAGACUCGGUGAUGAAUAGGCUUCGUGCCUAUUCAGUGCCGCAGGGAAGCCGUUAAGUCUGCCGCCUGGGGAGUACGGUCGCAAGACUGAAACCUAAAGGAAUUGGCGGGGGAGCACCACAAGGGGUGAAGCCUGCGGUUC
RNAcentral lists this ribosomal RNA (874 nucleotides) under uncultured archaeon. RNAcentral's name for it is "bacterial SSU rRNA". It matches the Rfam family "Archaeal small subunit ribosomal RNA", at positions 21 to 903 of the family's 1478-position model. The record is from RNAcentral.